UCCGGUGUCUCAAGCGAAAGGGAAACACCCGAUCUCAUUUCGAACUCGGCAGUUAAGCCUUUCAGCGCUGAUGGUAGCUCCUUGUGAGCAAGAGUAGGCCGAUGCCGGGA
Molecule: ribosomal RNA, 110 nt
Filed under: Candidatus Moraniibacteriota bacterium
Lineage: Bacteria; Candidatus Moraniibacteriota
Source: RNAcentral